GUCGAGGGGUAUAGUAGCAAUACUAGAGACCGGCGCACGGGUGCGUAACGCGUAUGCAAUCUACCUUUUGCAGAGGGAUAGCCCAGAGAAAUUUGGAUUAAUACCUCAUAGUAUAACGACUCGGCAUCGAGAUGUUAUUAAAGUCACAACGGCAAAAGAUGAGCAUGCGUCCCAUUAGUUAGUUGGUAAGGUAACGGCUUACCAAGACUACGAUGGGUAGGGGUCCUGAGAGGGAGAUCCCCCACACUGGUACUGAGACACGGACCAGACUCCUACGGGAGGCAGCAGUGAGGAAUAUUGGACAAUGGGCGCAAGCCUGAUCCAGCCAUGCCGCGUGCAGGAUGACGGUCCUAUGGAUUGUAAACUGCUUUUGCACAGGAAGAAACAACGCUACGUGUAGCGUCUUGACGGUACUGUGAGAAUAAGGAUCGGCUAACUCCGUGCCAGCAGCCGCGGUAAUACGGAGGAUCCAAGCGUUAUCCGGAAUCAUUGGGUUUAAAGGGUCCGUAGGCGGUCUUAUAAGUCAGUGGUGAAAUCUCCCCGCUCAACGGGGAAACGGCCAUUGAUACUGUAGGACUUGAAUUAUUAGGAAGUAACUAGAAUAUGUAGUGUAGCGGUGAAAUGCUUAGAGAUUACAUGGAAUACCAAUUGCGAAGGCAGGUUACUACUAAUGGAUUGACGCUGAUGGACGAAAGCGUGGGUAGCGAACAGGAUUAGAUACCCUGGUAGUCCACGCCGU
This 739-nucleotide ribosomal RNA is filed under the name uncultured bacterium. RNAcentral describes it as "bacterial SSU rRNA". It matches the Rfam family "Bacterial small subunit ribosomal RNA", at positions 61 to 803 of the family's 1533-position model. The record is from RNAcentral.